Molecule: non-coding RNA, 6670 nt
Organism: Lepisosteus oculatus (spotted gar)
Lineage: Eukaryota; Metazoa; Chordata; Actinopteri; Semionotiformes; Lepisosteidae
Source: RefSeq, a predicted model, not a curated record
AAGAGUAGGUAGAGACGAGCACCUCCAAGCAUCUUUACUGAGCCCGUGCUGAAGAACUCAGUAAUGGGUGGGAUGCAAUGAUGCUGAAGAGGCGGCUGAAUGGAAAGCAUCCGUCCAGUCUGCUUACAGUAGCAUUCCUGCAAAGGAAAAUGUUCCUCCACCACUGGACUCCAUACAAGCAUGGAUGGGACACUCAAUGUAACUGAGGCAACUUCGUUCUCUUGACGGUCCUGCAGAGCACCUAGAGAGAGAAGACUUCGCAGCGUUUCUCCUGGCGGGAGCCGCUGACCACCCAACUUCAAGAAUGCCUGUCUUGGAGCAAGGAAAACCAACAGGCCGGAGGGACAGCUAUGUGUUGCCCAAGCUGCCAGUGCCAUCUUUAGAACAGACUCUGGACAUGUACCUGAAGUGUAUGAAACACCUAGUGACUGAAGAGCAAUUCAGAAGGACCAAAGCCAUCGUGGAGAAGUUUGGGGCACCAGGAGGCAUUGGAGAACUAUUACAAACAAAGCUGCAAGAGAAGAGGGACAAAACUGAUAACUGGGUGUAUGAUUACUGGCUGGAAGAUAUGUACCUGAAUAACAGAUUGGCCCUACCUGUCAACUCCAGCCCUGCUAUGGUCUUCCCUCCACAGAACUUCAGGGAUCGAGGUGAUCUUCUCAGGUUUGCUGCUAAUCUCAUUUCAGGAGUGUUGGAUUAUAAAGGUCUACUUGAUGCACAUGCCCUGCCUGAAGACUAUGCUCGAGGCCAGCUGGCUGGGACUCCGCUGUGCAUGGAGCAGUAUUACCGACUCUUCUCCUCUUAUCGACUGCCUGGACAGAAGAAGGAUACCCUGGUUGCCCAGAAGAGCAGUGUCAUGCCAGAGCCUGAACACAUCAUUGUUGCUUGUAAAAAUCAGUUUUUCGUUCUAGAUGUAGUAAUAAACUUCCGGCGACUCAAUGAGAAAGACCUGCUCACCCAGCUGGAGAAGAUCCUGAAGAUGGCCGAGGACGAAGACGAGCGCCUGCCUCCGAUCGGACUGCUGAGUGCAGAUGGGAGGACGGAGUGGGCGGAAGCGCGGAGCGCGCUCAUGAAGGAUUCCACCAACAGAGACUCUCUUGACAUGAUUGAGAGAUGUAUCUGCCUGGUGUGUCUGGAUGACCCCACUGGGAAUGAACUCACUGAUACCAAUCGAGCUUUGCAAAUGCUGCAUGGAGGAGGAUAUGACAAGAACAGUGGGAAUCGCUGGUACGACAAGCCGAUGCAGUUUGUCAUAGGAAUGGAUGGCUCCUGUGGUGUUGUAUGUGAGCACUCCCCAUUCGAAGGAAUAGUGCUUGUGCAGUGCACUGAGUACCUGCUCAAGUACAUGAAAAGCAGUCCUUCAAAGCUGGUCAGAGCGGCAAGUGUCAGUGAACUUCCUGCUCCAAGGAGAUUACGCUGGAAAUGUUCCCCAGAAGUCCAGGGGCUCUUAGCAUCAUCAGCAGACAAACUUCAAAGGUUGGUGAGAAACCUGGACCUGAAUGCAUAUACAUUUAAGGUUUAUGGCAAAGAAUACAUAAAGAAACAGAAAAUGAGCCCAGACGCUUAUAUUCAGGUUGCUCUGCAGCUAGCAUUUUACAGAUGUCAUGGAAAGCAAGUGUCAACCUAUGAAAGUGCUUCCAUACGCCGUUUCCGAGAGGGACGAGUGGACAACAUCCGUUCUGCUACCGCCGAAGCCCUAGUGUUUGUGAAAGCAAUGACUGAUGGGAAGACGUCUGUCCCUGAUUCUGAUAAGAUGCAGAGACUGUGGGAUGCAAUUAGCACACAAACCAAUUAUACUAUCCUUGCUAUUACUGGGAUGGCAAUAGACAAUCAUUUACUUGGACUGCGAGAGGUUGCUCAGGAACUGAAAAUGGAAAAACCAGAGAUAUUCAUUGAUGAAACCUAUUUAAUAAGCAAUCGCUUCAUCCUCUCAACUAGUCAAGUUCCCACCUCUGUCCAGAUGUUCUGCUGUUAUGGUCCUGUGGUUCCCAAUGGCUACGGCGUAUGUUACAACCCCCAGUCAGACCACAUUAUCUUCUGCGUUUCCAGUUUCAAGGACUGUAAGGAAACCUGCUCCACCAAGUUUGUCAGGGCCCUGGAAGAGAGUCUGGUUGAGGUGAGGGACCUGUGCAGUAAGUAUAACAAAGCAGCCAAGCCCACCAGUCUGAAGGAAGGAGCUGCAAAACCUGUUAAAAAUGGAAGCAAGCCAUAAUAUUAAGCAAUACUAAGGGAUGAUCUGUUCAUUUUUCGGUUCACGGAUACUGCAGAUCAUUCACGAGUAUCAAGCUAAAAUGUCAACAAGUAAAAGGUCGCUCUUUAUAUUUCCUCAUUAACGCAACAUACAUUUUAAGUAGUAAACCUAAUCCCCUCUUUAUUGUGGGGCAUUCAUCAUAUUUUAAAACAUAUAGUAUAUUUAAUAUUGUGAGAAAUAUAUUUAUCUAGCUAUAGGUUAUUUUAUUACACAUGUGAUUAAAAGUUUAACUGAUGCAACAGAGGUAGUUUUGCUGUAUUAUCACCAUUCAAAAAGUGUCCAGCACAGCAGGAUCUGUGUCAACAUUUCCAUGACCUGGAUGUGAGCCCAGGGCACAAAUGAUGGAAGAAACCCAUUCAAAUUCACGGCGGGCGUUUGUGUGAGCAGGGGCAGGGAAAUCAGUGUUGUCAACUUUGACUUCCAGCAGGACUGGAUGCAAAGGCACAACAAUGUUUAACACCAAUAAUAAUUGUAAUGAAUGAGUCGUUCCCUGUAUUUAUUGUACAUACCGCUUUGCAUCCCUGACAGUCCCACAGCGCUUCGCUUUCCAAACUCUAUCUGCCACUGUAGUGUCGCCCCACCUUGGUGUGGCCCUCUACCGCAGAUGAGGAGGAGAAACGAGAGAUUAUCCUCAGAUGAAUUAAGUGAGGCCAGAUUGUGCAAACCCAAGUGGGAAUUAACCAUGGCACUGUGGUAACACCCCUACACUUGCAAAAUGUGCUAUGGGAUCUUUCAUGACCAGGUGGUCAAGACCUCAGUUUAAUGCAUCAUACGAAGAACAGCGUUUCCCGUAGGGUAACGUCCUCACUCACCAUUCUUCUGGGGCCAGAGCCCUUUGGAUCACUUCCCCCCGCUGCCUUAAGUAAAGUAUGGAUCAAUUAUUCUGUUAGGAUAUGUUAGAGUAUGUGAUGUGAAACUGAGGUCUUGACUACCUGGUCGUUGAAGAGCUUCUCGGCUUGUUUGUACAGUACCUAGUUUACAUCUAACUGGGGAAGGUCAUGCCAGAUUGUCUGUGGAUCUGCUAUUAUGAGAACAUUUAAAUCUGCAGGUGGGCAUGUUAGGUUUCCUGACACACGUCCUGAUUAAUGCAGGGGGGUUCUUACGAAUUCAGUUCAAGAUCAAUAAUAAAAUCUUAAAUGUCGUUUCAUCCCUCAUGCUCGGUAAAGUGAUUAUCUGUGGUUAGUUACCAACACAUUUUUUGGAAUACAUUUACUGUAACUUGUGCUGUUUUCAUCAUUUUCCCGAAAUUUUAAUGUGAAAAACAAAUUCUGUCAAUAUUUUAAAAAUGAAAGCAUAAAUAUAGUAUAUUAUACAGAAACUGAAAAGCGCUAUGCACCCAUUUUCAAAAACACAGACAUGUUUGUCAGCAGUUUCUGUUUUAGAAUCAAGUCCCUUGUAAAAUAAUUAGUGCUCCACUAGUUAUAACAGAAAAAAAUUAGGUUACCAAAGAAUACAGAAUAUACUGUAUUAUCAAUAGGGUAAGAGCCAAUAGGAGAUAUACAUUGCACUUUUAUGUACAGUAACAUAGAAUUGUAAAUAUUGUCUGAGAAAGUUAAAUAAAAAAGAAUGUAAUAUGUGAACUUUAAAUGAAAGUAUUGCUUAUCAACAUAUUUAUGAAGUAAACUCUAUAUACUGUUUGUGUCCUAUAAUUGAUAUUCUGUGAGUCCUCCAUACAUAAAACAUUUUUAAUUAACAUAGAAUAAUUAUUACCUCAUGGAGCCACUGUUAAGCAUGAAAUAGAACUUAAUUCAUGGCAAUAUUAAUUUUAUAUGCAUAAUUUAAAUAAGUAUCUGCACUAAAUUCCUUUUGUAUGUAGUGGUGUGAGUUCCACUUUCAAUAAUUACAUGUUACACUUGAAAUAGAAUGUAUUUUAAGUUUUAUAUACUGUAUUGUGUUUCAAUAGUAGUGUCUUGUGCAAUAGUGAGAACAACAGCUGAAAUGAAAAAGGUGAAAAACAAACUAUACAUUAAAUUUGUAAAAUAUUUUACUUUCUAAGAGAUAAGAAUAGUGUGAAUUCACUAAAUGUGUAUUGGGUAUAGAGAUUUGUUGAAUGAGACCGUGUACAUGAAUGUGUGUCAUAUUUCUAUAUAUAUACACAGUACAUAUUAUACACCUAUGCAAUAUAUAAGAAAACAUAAAUAAACUGAGAACAAUAUGUAAACUAAGUAUGGCAGUAUAAAUGCUAAGCCAAUGAAUUCAACUUCUAACUUUUUGUGCAAACAGUUUUUAGCACACAACAUAAUCUGUAUUGUAUUCAUCACUGUGCUGGCAAAUAGCUCACAAAUCUUGGAUUUAUGUAACGUCUACAUUUUAUAACUCAGUUACAUUAAGGAGUAGAAUGACAAAGCUUGUUUUAUAUUUUUUGUUUAUAUUAUAUGUUUUAUUUUAUGCCUAAAUGUCAUCUAGAUAAAAUAUGUUUAGUGGAUUAAUAAGGGUUUAUUACUAGUACUUGUAUUUUAUUCCUUAAGUGGUUUAAAAUGUUAUUAGUUUUAAAAUUCAUUUAUUACUAGCAACUAUAAUAACCAGAAUUACUGAAAGAUUUUACCAUGCAAGUCAUGUUUAAAAUGUUUCUGUUUAAAGGAGGUGUGUGGCAGACAAAGUAAAAUUACAGACAAAGUAAAUAUAUUACUAUAAUAUAUCUCUGUUAUUAAUAGGGUGACUUUAUGCUCACAAGGACACUUUGAGACAGGGUGGGAAAUUGAAAAUUAGUGAUUAAUUUUGAUCACCAGUUUCACUAUUCCUGCUAGUAGUCAGAUGGUGUGAACAACUGAACAAUGUUACUGAUUUCUUUGAAAGCAUCAUUUCCAGUCAGGUUUUAUUGAUCAGGAUUGCCAUUUUACUGGACACAGGCAUUAAGCAGCAAUUUUCUUCUUAGGAAAGAGUAAUGCCGAAUUUAAUUUAAUUAAGGUCUUACACUUUAGGUGCAGUUUUAAUUACUGUCCUACGUGUCCUGGGGAACAUGGAGUUAUGUAGUUUUCCUAGUUCUCAGCCACAUUAGAACCUAUUGUAUAACAAAGUGUAAACAAAUGCCCAGUAUCCACUGAAAUAUCCAGAAAGCUACUGUACUUGCAACAAAAUGUAUUGUCUUAAUUCCAAAACACAUAGAAUGAAUAGUAAAAAAUUGAAAAUAGGUUUUAUUUACUUCUAAUUCCCAGACCCUUGCACAUAUCUUAAAAAAUAUGUACAAACAUCACAUGGAGAGAGAAAAAGAUCAGAAGAAAAUAGAUCACUAUUUUGUGCAAAUCAGAGGGCUACUCAGUCAACUGCAGUAUACUGUAUGAAUAUAACGAAUGCUCCCAUUGUUAUAUCUGCCCAACUACGUCAUAAAUAAUUAACAUAGUGUCUGAAGUGAAAGGGACUGUCCCUGUAAUGCAGUGGAAUGGAGAGCCCACAGGGUGAACAGCCCUGAUUUUAAUUGGCAAAUUUUACUAACUCAGUGCUAUAUACACACAGUUUUGCUGCUACUGUAUGUGGGUGUGGGAGUUAUGGUUAGCUUUAUAACAGCAGAAUGCAGGGCUGUAAUUGUUAUAGUUGCUUCUCACAUUUUGCCCAAUUCAAUGAUGAGAUGAUGAGAGAUAAACUUUCACCCCCAAUAAUUUGUACUUUUGUACAAAAGCGGGAAAAGAGCAGUCAGUAAAAGAUCUCUACAGCACCUGAGCAGCACACUGCACAUCAUUUAAGUUUCAACAUGCUAUAGGCCGAUAUAAUAGUGAUAUGUACUGUAAAACAUCUCCAGGAUCCCCUGACCAACACCCUCUGCCAAUAUACACACAUCCUUCUCCAGAAAAUGACAUUUAUAGCACAACCACCAGCACCACAUGAAGUCUACUACAGGUCAACCUGAAGGCUUUGAACAACUAGGCUUAAACAAUUGGAAUUGUGAAGAUAUUUACAUAUUUGUAACUGGGGGGCAUGUGUGAAGAUGCUGAAAGCAUCACCUCUAUCUUCCUACUGCUGGGGGUGAAAUCUGGAUGCUUGAACGAACAAAAAAAUUGCUUGACUUAAUAGAAGUUUGUCUUUCCAAGGCAACAAAGUCAGUAAUAUUAAUUUAGCCCGCUGCUUAGAUCCACUGGGAUCCAUUUAAAUUGAACUUAUUUUCACAAUUAUUUAUUUGUAAGGAGCCGAGUAAUAACCCAGUUAUAAUCCAGUUAAUAAUCCAUAAUGUUUCAAAUUAAUGAAAUACUGUAUUUCACGUAUUUGUAAACUUUAGUUCACUCUAACAUGAUAUUUUUGCUACAUUUUAUUUUUUUACUGUAGAUGACAUGAACUGAAGGCUGUAUUUUAGUAAGAAAAGUAUGUGAAAGUAAUGUUCUUUGUACUGUAUGUUUUAUGGCAAAUAUUGUCUGAAAUAUUAGAUAUUAUAUAUUGUUAUGUGGUGGUCUUAAAAUAUUACUGUACUGUAAAAAUAAACAAUGAAGA